CCCCGCAUAGCUCAGCGGUAGAGCGCUCGGCUGUAGCCCGAGAGAUCCCCGGUUCGAACCCGGGUGCGGGGA
This 72-nucleotide transfer RNA is filed under the name Candidatus Pacearchaeota archaeon. Its description in RNAcentral is "tRNA-Tyr". It matches the Rfam family "tRNA". Rfam says of the family: Transfer RNA (tRNA) molecules are approximately 80 nucleotides in length. Their secondary structure includes four short double-helical elements and three loops (D, anti-codon, and T loops). Lineage: Archaea; Nanobdellati. The record is from RNAcentral.